GAUGAAGAACGUAGCGAAAUGCGAUAAGUAAUGUGAAUUGCAGAAUUCAGUGAAUCAUCGAAUCUUUGAACGCACAUUGCGCCCCCUGGUAUUCCGGGGGGCAUGCCUGUUCGAGCGUCAUUUCACCACUCAAGCCUCGCUUGGUAUUGGGCAUCGCGGUCCGCCGCGCGCCUCAAAUCGACCGGCUGGGUCUUCUGUCCCCUAAGCGUUGUGGAAACUAUUCGCUAAAGGGUGUUCGGGAGGCUACGCCGUAAAACAACCCCAUUUCUAAGGUUGACCUCGGAUCAGGUAGGGAUACCCGCUGAACUUAAGCAUAUCAAUAAGCGGAGGG
This 331-nucleotide unclassified non-coding RNA is filed under the name soil metagenome. Its description in RNAcentral is "partial contains 5.8S ribosomal RNA, internal transcribed spacer 2, and large subunit ribosomal RNA". The stretch from base 1 to 120 matches the Rfam family "5.8S ribosomal RNA", at positions 35 to 154 of the family's 154-position model. The record is from RNAcentral.